This 433-nucleotide ribosomal RNA is filed under the name uncultured bacterium. Its description in RNAcentral is "partial 16S ribosomal RNA". It matches the Rfam family "Bacterial small subunit ribosomal RNA", at positions 29 to 507 of the family's 1533-position model. The record is from RNAcentral.
AACGAACGCUGGCGGCAUGCCUAACACUUGCAAGUCGAACGAGACCUUCGGGUCUAGUGGCGCACGGGUGCGUAACGCGUGGGAACCUGCCCUUAGGUUCGGAAUAACUCCCCGAAAGGGGUGCUAAUACCGGAUAAUGUCUUCGGACCAAAGAUUUAUCGCCUUUGGAUGGGCCCGCGUUGGAUUAGCUAGUUGGUAGGGUAAAAGACUACCAAGGCGACGAUCCAUAGCUGGUCUGAGAGGAUGAUCAGCCACACUGGGACUGAGACACGGCCCAGACUCCUACGGGAGGCAGCAGUGGGGAAUAUUGGACAAUGGGCGAAAGCCUGAUCCAGCAAUGCCGCGUGAGUGAUGAAGGCCUUAGGGUUGUAAAGCUCUUUUACCCGGGAUGAUAAUGACAGUACCGGGAGAAUAAGCUCCGGCUAACUCCGUG